Molecule: ribosomal RNA, 464 nt
Filed under: Vreelandella stevensii
Lineage: Bacteria; Pseudomonadati; Pseudomonadota; Gammaproteobacteria; Oceanospirillales; Halomonadaceae
Description: partial 16S ribosomal RNA
Rfam family: Bacterial small subunit ribosomal RNA
Source: RNAcentral
CCUACGGGGGGCAGCAGUGGGGAAUAUUGGACAAUGGGGGGAACCCUGAUCCAGCCAUGCCGCGUGUGUGAAGAAGGCCCUCGGGUUGUAAAGCACUUUCAGUGAGGAAGAACGCCUGGUGGUUAAUACCCAUCAGGAAAGACAUCACUCACAGAAGAAGCACCGGCUAACUCCGUGCCAGCAGCCGCGGUAAUACGGAGGGUGCGAGCGUUAAUCGGAAUUACUGGGCGUAAAGCGCGCGUAGGUGGCUUGAUAAGCCGGUUGUGAAAGCCCCGGGCUCAACCUGGGAACGGCAUCCGGAACUGUCAAGCUAGAGUGCAGGAGAGGAAGGUAGAAUUCCGGUGUAGCGGUGAAAUGCGUAGAGAUCGGGAGGAAUACCAGUGGCGAAGGCGGCCUUCUGGACUGACACUGACACUGAGGUGCGAAAGCGUGGGUAGCAAACAGGAUUAGAUACCCCAGUAGUC